This 253-nucleotide ribosomal RNA is filed under the name uncultured bacterium. RNAcentral describes it as "partial 16S ribosomal RNA". It matches the Rfam family "Bacterial small subunit ribosomal RNA", at positions 524 to 776 of the family's 1533-position model. The record is from RNAcentral.
UACGGGGGGAGCAAGCGUUGUUCGGAUUUACUGGGCGUAAAGGGCGCGUAGGCGGCGCAACAAGUCACUUGUGAAAUCUCCGGGCUUAACUCGGAAAGGUCAAGUGAUACUGUUGUGCUAGAGUGCGGAAGGGGCAACUGGAAUUCUCGGUGUAGCGGUGAAAUGCGUAGAUAUCGAGAGGAACACCGGCGGCGAAGGCGGGUUGCUGGGCCGACACUGACGCUGAUGCGCGAAAGCCAGGGGAGCGAACGGG